UACGUAGGGCCCAAGCGUUAUCCGGAAUUAUUGGGCGUAAAGAGCGCGUAGGCGGGUUGUUGCGUCUGCUGUGAAAACUCGGGGCUUAACUCCGGGCCUGCAGUGGGUACGGGCAGACUAGAGUGCGGUAGGGGAGACUGGAAUUCCUGGUGUAGCGGUGAAAUGCGCAGAUAUCAGGAGGAACACCGGUGGCGAAGGCGGGUAUCUGGGCCGUAACUGACGCUGAGGAGCGAAAGCGUGGGGAGCGAACAGG
This 253-nucleotide ribosomal RNA is filed under the name uncultured bacterium. Its description in RNAcentral is "partial 16S ribosomal RNA". It matches the Rfam family "Bacterial small subunit ribosomal RNA", at positions 524 to 776 of the family's 1533-position model. The record is from RNAcentral.